This 121-nucleotide small nucleolar RNA is filed under the name Echinops telfairi (small Madagascar hedgehog). Its description in RNAcentral is "Small nucleolar RNA SNORA61 (ENSETEG00000025431.1)". Lineage: Eukaryota; Metazoa; Chordata; Mammalia; Afrosoricida; Tenrecidae. The record is from RNAcentral.
AACCUCCACUUUCUUUACACAUCAGACCUAAACAUUGGUCUGAGUGCCUCUAGAGACAGGAAAAGUAAAACUGAAACUGCCCAGGAUUCUCUUAUAACAAGCUGGUUUGGAACAACCAAAC